CCUACGGGAGGCUGCAGUGGGGAAUAUUGCACAAUGGGGGAAACCCUGAUGCAGCAACGCCGCGUGAGUGAAGAAGUAUUUCGGUAUGUAAAGCUCUAUCAGCAGGGAAGAAGAUGACGGUACUUGAGUAAGAAGCCCCGGCUAACGACGUGCCAGCAGCCGCGGUAAUACGUAGGGGGCAAGCGUUAUCCGGAUUUACUGGGUGUAAAGGGAGCGCAGACGGUGAGACAAGUCUGAAGUGAAAGCCCGGGGCUCAACCCCGGGACUGCUUUGGAAACUGCCUGACUGGAGUGCUGGAGAGGCAAGCGGAAUUCCUAGUGUAGCGGUGAAAUGCGUAGAUAUUAGGAAGAACACCAGUGGCGAAGGCGGCUUACUGGACAGUAACUGACGUUGAGGCUCGAAAGCGUGGGGAGCAAACAGGAUUAGAUACCCCAGUAGUC
RNAcentral lists this ribosomal RNA (440 nucleotides) under uncultured bacterium. RNAcentral describes it as "partial 16S ribosomal RNA". It matches the Rfam family "Bacterial small subunit ribosomal RNA", at positions 338 to 795 of the family's 1533-position model. The record is from RNAcentral.